UGCAGUCGAGGGGUAUAGUUCUUCGGAACUAGAGACCGGCGCACGGGUGCGUAACGCGUAUGCAAUCUACCUUUUACAGAGGGAUAGCCCAGAGAAAUUUGGAUUAAUACCUCAUAGUAUAUAGCCCUGGCAUCAGGAUUAUAUUAAAGUCACAACGGUAAAAGAUGAGCAUGCGUCCCAUUAGCUAGUUGGUAAGGUAACGGCUUACCAAGGCUACGAUGGGUAGGGGUCCUGAGAGGGAGAUCCCCCACACUGGUACUGAGACACGGACCAGACUCCUACGGGAGGCAGCAGUGAGGAAUAUUGGACAAUGGGCGCAAGCCUGAUCCAGCCAUGCCGCGUGCAGGAUGACGGUCCUAUGGAUUGUAAACUGCUUUUAUACGAGAAGAAACACUCCUUCGUGAAGGAGCUUGACGGUAUCGUAAGAAUAAGGAUCGGCUAACUCCGUGCCAGCAGCCGCGGUAAUACGGAGGAUCCAAGCGUUAUCCGGAAUCAUUGGGUUUAAAGGGUCCGUAGGCGGUUUAAUAAGUCAGUGGUGAAAGCCCAUCGCUCAACGGUGGAACGGCCAUUGAUACUGUUAGACUUGAAUUAUUAGGAAGUAACUAGAAUAUGUAGUGUAGCGGUGAAAUGCUUAGAGAUUACAUGGAAUACCAAUUGCGAAGGCAGGUUACUACUAAUUGAUUGACGCUGAUGGACGAAAGCGUGGGUAGCGAACAGGAUUAGAUACCCUGGUAGUCCACGCCGUAAACGAUGGAUACUAGCUGUUGGAAGCAAUUUCAGUGGCUAAGCGAAGGUGAUAAGUAUCCCACCUGGGGAGUACGUUCGCAAGAAUGAAACUCAAAGGAAUUGACGGGGGCCCGCACAAGCGGU
RNAcentral lists this ribosomal RNA (870 nucleotides) under uncultured bacterium. RNAcentral describes it as "bacterial SSU rRNA". It matches the Rfam family "Bacterial small subunit ribosomal RNA", at positions 56 to 933 of the family's 1533-position model. The record is from RNAcentral.